RNAcentral lists this ribosomal RNA (774 nucleotides) under uncultured low G+C Gram-positive bacterium. Its description in RNAcentral is "bacterial SSU rRNA". It matches the Rfam family "Bacterial small subunit ribosomal RNA", at positions 127 to 891 of the family's 1533-position model. Lineage: Bacteria; Bacillati; Bacillota. The record is from RNAcentral.
UACCCAUCAGAGGGGAUACACUUUGAACAGGUCNCUAUCCGCCAUACAGUUAUGCCGCAUGGCAAUAGAGUGAAAGCGCUUUCGGGUUCGCUGAUUGGAUGGACCCCCGGUGCAUUAGCUAGUUGUNGAGGUACGGGCUCACCAAGGCCACGAUGCAUAGCCGACCUGAGAGGGUGAUCGGCCACACUGGGACUGAGACACGGCCCAGACUCCUACGGGAGGCAGCAGUAGGGAAUCUUCGGCAAUGGACGAAAGUCUGACCGAGCNACGCCGCGUGAGUGAAGAAGGUUUUCGGAUCGUAAAACUCUGUUGUUAGAGAAGAACAAGGACGUUAGUAACUGAACGUCCCCUGACGGUAUCUAACCAGAAAGCCACGGCUAACUACGUGCCAGCAGCCGCGGUAAUACGUAGGUGGCAAGCGUUGUCCGGAUUUAUUGGGCGUAAAGCGAGCGCAGGCGGUUUCUUAAGUCUGAUGUGAAAGCCCCCGGCUCAACCGGGGAGGGUCAUUGGAAACUGGGAGACUUGAGUGCAGAAGAGGAGAGUGGAAUUCCAUGUGUAGCCGGUGAAAUGCGUAGAUAUAUGGAGGAACACCAGUGGCGAAGGCGGCUCUCUGGUCUGUAACUGACGCUGAGGCUCGAAAGCGUGGGGAGCAAACAGGAUUAGAUACCUGGUAGUCCACGCCGUAAACGUAUGAGUGCUAAGUGUUGGAGGGUUUCCGCCCUUCAGUGCUGCAGCAAACGCAUUAAGCACUCCGCCUGGGGAGUACGACCGCAA